UACAGAGGUCUCAAGCGUUGUUCGGAUUCAUUGGGCGUAAAGGGUGCGUAGGCGGCGCGGUAAGUCGGGUGUGAAAUCUCGGAGCUUAACUCCGAAACUGCAUUCGAUACUGCCGUGCUUGAGGACGGGAGAGGAGACUGGAAUUUACGGUGUAGCGGUGAAAUGCGUAGAUAUCGUAAGGAAGACCAGUGGCGAAGGCGGGUCUCUGGACAGUUCCUGACGCUGAGGCACGAAGGCCAGGGGAGCAAACGGG
RNAcentral lists this ribosomal RNA (253 nucleotides) under uncultured bacterium. Its description in RNAcentral is "partial 16S ribosomal RNA". It matches the Rfam family "Bacterial small subunit ribosomal RNA", at positions 524 to 776 of the family's 1533-position model. The record is from RNAcentral.